GACAGAGGGGACAAGCGUUGCUCGGAAUUACUGGGCGUAAAGGGCGCGUAGGCGGGAUGGCAAGUCGGUCGUGAAAUCCCUCGGCUCAACUGAGGAUCGUCGAUCGAUACUGCCGUUCUUGAGGAUUGCAGAGGAGACUGGAAUUCCCGGUGUAGCGGUGAAAUGUGUAGAGAUCGGGAGGAACACCGGUGGCGAAGGCGGGUCUCUGGGCAAUUCCUGACGCUGAGGCGCGAAAGCGUGGGGAGCAAACGGG
RNAcentral lists this ribosomal RNA (253 nucleotides) under uncultured bacterium. Its description in RNAcentral is "partial 16S ribosomal RNA". It matches the Rfam family "Bacterial small subunit ribosomal RNA", at positions 524 to 776 of the family's 1533-position model. The record is from RNAcentral.